CCAGGAUCAUGCCCUGAGCCAAAGGCAGAUGCUCAAAUGCUGAGCCACCCAGGGAUCCCUGUCUUUACGUCUUAUCAUAAUCUUGUGCAAAUUUAAUUUUCCCUAUCAGACCAGAAGCUUCCAGAAGACAGGCCCAUGUGACCUUAGGUGUAGAUCAAUGCUGAUUGCCCAUAACUAUUCGCCGGAAGAAUAACUCAAAGCAUCAGAGCGCACCAGACGAAGCCUAGUUCUGGUGCCCCCUCGCCAACGCCUUGGAUUACUGUGUGACUUUGCUAUGCUAGCUAAACUUCUCUGCGUGUCAGGGUCUCUCCAGUCACUGCAACAAUUCUUUGUCCUAUGGGGCUCAUGGAAGCCCCCAAUUAGAAUCUUUCAGGUGGUUUUCAAUUUACAUUUUCUGUGAAAUUUUACAGAAAUUUUUUUUACAGGUAAAUCAGUGUCACCUAAUUGUAAUUAGGUAAGAUACUGAUUCACCACUUUGCAAUGGGCCAGGUAUAGCUGAGUGCUUUAGAGGCACUAUCUCAUUUAAUCCUCCUAAAAACAAAACUAUGAAAUAGGUACUAUUAUUUUCGUUUCUUGAGAGGGGAGGGUCCUUCACUGGGAAGGCCUCCUUCCCAUCAGGCCUCACCUGCUGAGCUCUCCUGGCAGAGUAUGAGCUCCCCUCACCAGGGGUCCAACAAGGCCCAGAGGUAGUGACUGCCUAUUCAAGAAGUAGGCCUGCCUUAGAGGGGCUUGGAGGGCUACUCUCCACUCCUCUUCCCUUCCCUUCCCGGGUGUUAUCCCUCCCAGGAAAGCUCUGGCUGGAACACACUUUCCCCAGCACAGAGCCACUCUGUGAGAUUCUUCAGGGCUCGAAUCAAAGAUAAGGAGGAACCAUCUUAUAGAUACUUCUAUGUACCAGGCGCUGUUUUAAGUCUCUAAUGUGCAUUAACUCAUUAACUCUCCCAACAAUCCUAGGAAGUAGAUGCUAUUAUUUUCUCUGCCUUACAGGUGAGGCUACUGAGCAAAGAAGAUAGGUCACUCGUCCCUGGUUAGUAAGUGGCAGAACUGAGGUCUGAACCAGCGCGGUUGAGCUCCAAAUACAAGUGCAGGGCCUCAAUGCCAUAUCAGAGAUGCCUCACACAUACAGGGCUGUGUUCCCAGCCCCCUGGUAUGUGACAGGGCCCGCAUGUGUGACUUAGGGAUGGGUGAGCAUGUGGUUGCACGGCCACAUCCACGGCCGGCCAAGUCCUGGGAUCCACACCCAGCAUUGGGGGAGAGACCCUCUGGACACAGAAGCUCUGACCAGGACACUGAUUCUCACCUGCCCUGCUGUGUAACAAACACUCGCUCCAUCCAUCUUUCCCUGGCUGAAGAAGAAACUUGGGAAGGAUUAGAGGCAAACUGGCACAAACCUGUGCAGAGUCCAUUAGCACCAAGAGCAAUAGCUGCAUGUGCUGCAUGCCAUCAAGCGGGGCUGCUGCUGAUGCCCGUUUUAAAGGCAGGGGGAUGGAGCCUCGGAGAGGAUGGUCAGCACCCGGAUUUUACCCCAGUUCGCCUAACCCCAGGUUCUAGAGCACCUUGCUUCUCAGAUUGCAAAACACCCCCACACUGGCAUCACAUUUAAUGCUUGCCACCACUCCCAUCUUUGACAGGAGGGGGAGGACAGGCCUGGAGCAGCAGCUGGCACUAAACCUUUGCCUGAUGCUGAACCCCGGGCCUCCAUAGCUCCCCCACCAUGCUGCCCUCCCUGUGUGAGGCCUUCAGGAAGGGGUCCUGGGGGAGGGGGGCCAUGCUCCUCUCCUGUCUGCAGGUCCCUUGGAUCCCCCCCCAUGUGCUGAGUGAGGCCCUUGUCCCCGUUCUGACACCUCUCUCCACUCAGCCCUGAGGUGGGGACUCCAGCUGACAUGCUGCAGUCUGAAAUAUACAGCAAAAGGCAGAGGAAGAUGUCCCCACAACUCCUGUCCAGUGGCUCCCAAGGCCCCCUCCCUCUGUUUCCCCCUCAUAAGAUUCACUCCUGCCCUCCAUGGCACCCCUGGGCACUGGCUCCCCUGAGCCCAAUCACUUCAUAUGGAGAAUGGGUAUUCACUGCCCACCUGGCCCUUGGACUUGGGAGGGUCUGGAAGGCCAGACCACAUGCUGGUUUGGCUCUAGGGCCCAGGGUGAGCACAAGGCAAGGGCAGCACCCUGAGGGAGUAUCUGCUGAGGGAGGGAAGGAAGGAGAAAGGGAAAGGGAAAGGGAAAGGGAAAGGGAAAGGGAAAGGGAAAGGGAAAGGGAAAGGGAAAGGGAAAGGAAAGGAAAGGAAAGGAAAGGAAAGGAAAGGGGCAGGGAGGAAGGAGGGAGAAGGAGGGAGGAGGAGGGAGGAAGGAAAGAGGGGGGAGGGAGGGAGGGAGGAGGAGGGAGGAAGGAAAGAGGGAGGAAGGAAGAAGGAAGGAGGGAGGGAGGGAGGGAGGGAGGGAGGAAGGAAGGAGGAAGGAAGGAAGGAGGGAGGAGGGAGGGAAGAAAGGAAAGAAGCAAGGAAGGAAGGAAAGCAAGGAAGGAAGAGGGAGGGAGGGAAGAAAGGAAAGAAGGAAGGAAGGAGGAGGGAGGAGGAAGGUGAAGGGCAUCCUAGGUGGAAGCAGCAGCCUGGGCAAGUGCGUGGAGGCAGGGAUAUACGUGGCUGAAUCCUGAAGGCUGUGCUGUGGGGAGGGAAGGGAAGGGGGUUCUACAGCACAGCAGGCAGAGGACCCUAAAAGGGCGCUGUCAUAUGGGAAGGACCACGGACUGGACCUGUAUUCUGACAGCAGCAGGAGCCCCUAGAAGUAUCUGCUAUGGUUGAGAAAGAUCACUCUGGUAGUGUGGCCCAUGCUGGGAGGGGGCAGGAUGGAGGCAGGGAGGCCAGGAGGCCCAGCCUCUUCCGUCACCAUUCUUUCUGAGCUAGUUCCUCCUGUCUUGGCCACUGUACAUGCCACAUCCGUUUCAAGCUCCAAACACUUGCUGGUACGUUCCCUCUGGCAGGAGUGCCCCCUCUUUUUCUUACUUACCCAUGCUGGAAGCACCUGCUCCAAGCUCCCUCUUCCGUGAAGCCCCUGCCUCCAUAAGGCUCCCAACUCUGGUCAAGACUGAAUCCUAAGGCUCAAGUUAUCUGUCCCACUCAUCUCGGAAAUGGAUUGUACACUGUCUCCCUCUGCUCUUCUUCACAUGGACAAGUCUUACCACAGAUGCUGCCCUAGCUCUCUUGAUCUUAUUAUCCCCAUAACACCUUCAUGAACUGGGGGACUUGUUUUCUGCCUGAAACUU
RNAcentral lists this long non-coding RNA (3256 nucleotides) under Canis lupus familiaris (dog). RNAcentral describes it as "lncRNA (ENSCAFG00000051680.1)". Lineage: Eukaryota; Metazoa; Chordata; Mammalia; Carnivora; Canidae. The record is from RNAcentral.